Molecule: unclassified non-coding RNA, 253 nt
Filed under: uncultured Flavobacteriaceae bacterium
Lineage: Bacteria; Pseudomonadati; Bacteroidota; Flavobacteriia; Flavobacteriales; Flavobacteriaceae
Description: contains 16S-23S intergenic spacer region
Rfam family: Bacterial small subunit ribosomal RNA
Source: RNAcentral
UACGGAGGAUCCAAGCGUUAUCCGGAAUCAUUGGGUUUAAAGGGUCCGUAGGCGGAUAAAUAAGUCAGUGGUGAAAGUCUGCAGCUUAACUGUAGAAUUGCCAUUGAUACUGUUUAUCUUGAGUUAUUAUGAAGUGGUUAGAAUGUGUAGUGUAGCGGUGAAAUGCAUAGAUAUUACACAGAAUACCGAUUGCGAAGGCAGAUCACUAAUAAUACACUGACGCUGAUGGACGAAAGCGUAGGUAGCGAACAGG